GGGCGAAGGCGAGGCUUCCGGACGAUGGGAGGACCGGGAGCUGCCUCUGCCGCGUUAAGCGGUCCGAGGAAAUUUCAGUCAGCCAUGCAGUCCUGACCGCCGCCUAGCCAGUCUCAGGUAUGUCUUUAUCGGUAGCGUGAGUACGGACCAAUACACUGAGUCACUGGAUUAGCUCAAUAGCAGAAUGGAGAUGGCAGAGGAAGAAGCCGGAGAAUUUAAAGAAAAACAUACAGAGUGGAAGAAAGCAGAAUUGGACAGUGAGAUGUCCAGAUUUCACUGGACAUGAGUCUCAGUGAAAUCCACGGCCCAGCACAUGGAGCUCUGAAGCUGGGACAACCUGCCAGAAUUGCCCGGGAUUGAGGCAAUCAGGGAAGGCUUUAUACCCCAUGUCACUGAUGCAUCAUUGGAUGUGAACUGGGCUUUCUGCUAGCAACACUCCCUGCAACUGGAGGAACACAUUCUUUAGUCUGGAAGUCCGAUCCGGGUGCCCCGCAGUAUGUACUAUUUUUACAUAUUCUACUGGUAAAUUAUUUACCCUUCAGAGGGUAGGUACUGUCUGGAUUUGCUCUCCUCUGUUAUUAAUGACAUUUGAAAAAAAAUAGUGAAAUUGUUUUAUUUGAUCUCUCCAACCACAUGUUGAGUUUCUCAUGAGAAAGGAUGCUGUAUUCACCACCAUCUAUUUCUUCGGUCUCCGCUUUUCCAGCUGAACCCGAGAGCGAGCAAGCAACGCAGCUGGGGGCGUGACCAGCGUGAGAUGAAAACUGCGCAUACUCAGUAACUCAGCGCAAUAGGAGGGGGCGAACCCCAGCGUCCUCGGUUCCCACAGUGACAGAGCCUCACUCUGGUCUUAACCACCAGCGUUUCCCUUCUUAGCUCCGGGCCCACCCAGGAAAGACAAAAAUACACCUCCAGUCAUCUGACCCCUUGCAGCGGAAGAUGAAGGACUCCACUCCAAACACGGUGAUCUUGGUAAACGCAGGAGUCGGGGGAGCGUGCAAGACCCUGACAUUUUUCCGGCUUUCCCCGCCCCCAGACCUAGCCCAGCCAACUAGACCGCCAUCAGCCAGCCUUCCCUUUAGAAGGGUAGUGUGCUCUGGUAUAAGAUUUGAUAGGUGAUUAAAUAUAAGGAAAACCAGUUUAACCACCUACGCUACCUUCAAGAACUAUCCCCCACUAGCCAGCUUUAAUAUAUAAAUUGUCUGGAAAGUCAUCACUUGGGGACUUGAAGGCCCAUUAGUCUACAAGUCACCCAGGAGGGGUGUCCCCUUGUGAAGGGAUGUGUAUGUCCUAAGAGGGACACAGGGCUGGGAGGCAAGAGAUCCAGGCUCUGGACUGGCCGUUAUCCAGCUUUGUGAUCCGAAACUCUUUGAAGAGUGGUUUUUGGAAUAUGAUGGAGCUGUGGGCUUCUCUAGCCUCUGGGUCUCGGCCUUGUACGACUGCAUUUCGUUAUCAAUUCACCCCUGGCAGCUGCUCGGCAGAACUGGCCAUUCACACCAGGAAACUGAAGGAAGGAUGAAAGAGUGUGCUUGUGGAAGAGACUAAAGGAAUGGCGCCACGGUAGAGUUUUGGUAGGUCUUGUAUAGCACUGCAGACACAACAUAUGCUGGCCUAAGCACUCGAAUUUCUUUGUUUCUGCCUAGCCAGGGUAAUAGUCCAGAAAACCAGAAUCUUAAAAUCGAAUUCAGAAAAGAAUUGACUCAUGUAUAAAACGAUUACAGACUAACCCAAUAUUUAUCUCUAGGUCUCAGAACAUUAGAAUCUGGAGCUGGCAAAUAAUCUGGUGUGUGGAGACUGCAGGCUUCAAGGCAGUGUUUACAGAUAGACUUGACAAGGAACAAAACCAGAUCUAUUUUAUUUAUUUUAUUUUUAUUUUUUUGAGACGGUGUCUCACUC
This is a long non-coding RNA of Saimiri boliviensis boliviensis (Bolivian squirrel monkey), 1893 nucleotides long. RefSeq lists it as uncharacterized. Lineage: Eukaryota; Metazoa; Chordata; Mammalia; Primates; Cebidae. The record is from RefSeq and is a predicted model, not a curated record.